This 495-nucleotide ribosomal RNA is filed under the name uncultured bacterium. Its description in RNAcentral is "partial 16S ribosomal RNA". It matches the Rfam family "Bacterial small subunit ribosomal RNA", at positions 28 to 507 of the family's 1533-position model. The record is from RNAcentral.
GACGAACGCUGGCGGCGUGCCUAAUACAUGCAAGUAGAACGCUGAAGGAGGAGCUUGCUUCUCUGGAUGAGUUGCGAACGGGUGAGUAACGCGUAGGUAACCUGCCUGGUAGCGGGGGAUAACUAUUGGAAACGAUAGCUAAUACCGCAUAACAGUAGAUAUCGCAUGAUAUCUACUUGAAAGGUGCAAUUGCAUCACUACCAGAUGGACCUGCGUUGUAUUAGCUAGUUGGUGAGGUAACGGCUCACCAAGGCGACGAUACAUAGCCGACCUGAGAGGGUGAUCGGCCACACUGGGACUGAGACACGGCCCAGACUCCUACGGGAGGCAGCAGUAGGGAAUCUUCGGCAAUGGACGGAAGUCUGACCGAGCAACGCCGCGUGAGUGAAGAAGGUUUUCGGAUCGUAAAGCUCUGUUGUAAGAGAAGAACGAGUGUGCGAGUGGAAAGUUCACACUGUGACGGUAUCUUACCAGAAAGGGACGGCUAACUACGUG